RNAcentral lists this ribosomal RNA (268 nucleotides) under Entrophospora etunicata. RNAcentral describes it as "Claroideoglomus etunicatum ribosomal RNA". Lineage: Eukaryota; Fungi; Glomeromycota; Glomeromycetes; Entrophosporales; Entrophosporaceae. The record is from RNAcentral.
CAGUCGCGUUCUCUGGGAUUCAGCCUUGCUUCUUGCUUGGUGCAUUUCCUAGUCUACGGGCCAGCAUGAAUCUUGAGCGGUGGAAAAGGGUUUGGGGAAUGUGGCACCUCCGGGUGUGUUAUAGCCCCUUGCUGUAUACACUGGUUGGGAUUGAGGUUUGCAACGAAUACCUUCAGGGCUGUUCCACCUGGCCUCUCAUCGGCAUCCUGGCCGACGACAGCUUGCUGACGUUGUUAGGAUCAGCCUUACGAACAGGCUAGAGUGUGAG